RNAcentral lists this long non-coding RNA (870 nucleotides) under Homo sapiens (human). Its description in RNAcentral is "non-protein coding lnc-ADRA1D-3:1". Lineage: Eukaryota; Metazoa; Chordata; Mammalia; Primates; Hominidae. The record is from RNAcentral.
UAGUGGGGUGGGGGCAGGGGCGGGGUCGUGGGGUGUUAAAUGCAGUUGCUGGGCCCCAUCCUGAGAAUUUAUAAUUUGGCAGGAAUGGGGUGGAAUGCAAGAAUUUGCAUUAGUUGGAUGACAGAUGUAAAAAUGAAAGGAAAAAGGACAAAACUAAUAGAAGAAAAUGCAGGUGGUGUUGACUGAAUUCUGCCUGCUAAAAUGAUAGGUUGAAUUCCUAAGCCUUGGUUCUUGUGAAUGUGACUUUAUUCUCCUCCUGCCUCAGCCUCCCAAGUAGCUGGGACUAUAGGCACACACCACCAUGCCCAGCUAAUUUUCGUAUUUUUAGUAGAGAUGGGGUUUCCAUGUUGGUCAGGCUGGUCUCAAACUCCUGCCCUCAAGUGAUCCGCCCACCUCGGCCUCCCAAAGUGCUGGGAUUACAGGCGUGAGCCACCAUGCCUGGCUAUUUUUCCAUUGUUUUUUAAUUCCAUACUUGUAAAAGUUUAAAAGACAUUUGGGAGAUUAGGUGAUAAAAGAUGAUAAAAUGCCUGUUAUCUCCUGUUGCUAUCAUUUAAUAAAAGAAACAAAAAAUUAGGAAGGCUCUAACCUUAGCAUGAACAGUCCUUCACAAGGAAAGACAACUGGCACCUACACUCACAUUUAAAAAUGAAAAUAUUUCAGUUAUUUGAAAAAGAAGUUAUACAACAUUUUCUCAUUUUGUACUAUUUGGAUAUAAUUGUUUCUUUAAUACAAGUCAGUUACAGUAAUAUACUGGGUAGUGAAUUACACAGUAGUUCUUUAAGAAUUGCUUUAAGAAGUAAUGUCCUACUUCUUUAGGUCAAUUGUUUAGUUUUGACCUAAAGAAGUAGGAAAUUCACCCGGGCAUGGUGG